GAUGAAGAACGCAGCGAAAUGCGAUAAGUAAUGUGAAUUGCAGAAUUCCGUGAAUCAUCGAAUCUUUGAACGCACAUUGCGCCCCCUGGUAUUCCGGGGGGGCAUGCCUGUCCGAGCGUCAUUGCAACCUUCAAGCGCGGCUUGUGUGUUGGGUCUCGUCCCCCGUGGACGGGCCCGAAAGGCAGUGGCGGCGUCCCGACAUGGUGCCCGAGCGUAUGGGAAUCCUCUUCCGCUCGAAUCGGCCCAUGCGGCGCUGGUCGUAACCAAAUUUUUUACCGGUUGACCUCGGAUCAGGUAGGGAUACCCGCUGAACUUAAGCAUAUCAAUAAGCGGAGGA
Molecule: unclassified non-coding RNA, 337 nt
Filed under: soil metagenome
Description: partial contains 5.8S ribosomal RNA, internal transcribed spacer 2, and large subunit ribosomal RNA
Rfam family: 5.8S ribosomal RNA (bases 1-121)
Source: RNAcentral